Molecule: ribosomal RNA, 167 nt
Filed under: Anisotes formosissimus
Lineage: Eukaryota; Viridiplantae; Streptophyta; Magnoliopsida; Lamiales; Acanthaceae
Description: 5.8S ribosomal RNA
Rfam family: 5.8S ribosomal RNA (bases 1-79)
Source: RNAcentral
AAUCCCGUGAACCAUCGAGUCUUUGAACGCAAGUUGCGCCCGAAGCCUUCGGGCCGAGGGCACGCCUGCCUGGGCGUCACGCAUCGNGUNGCCCCCUCCCCCCCGCUCCGCGGAGCGUGGGGGGGCGGAAACUGGCCUCCCGUGCGCCCCCGUCGUGCGGCCGGCCC